GCGCUUCGUUUACACCGAAAAGUCAUCUGUUAAACCCGGAUCGUUUUGA
This 49-nucleotide transfer RNA is filed under the name Megophrys longipes (Malacca spadefoot toad). RNAcentral describes it as "Xenophrys longipes (Malacca spadefoot toad) partial tRNA-Val". Lineage: Eukaryota; Metazoa; Chordata; Amphibia; Anura; Megophryidae. The record is from RNAcentral.